AAUGAAAUGCCUGAAUAAAGGGUUAUUUUGAUAGAAUAAAUUAUGAAAUAUUUUAUUUCUUUCAUUA
This 67-nucleotide transfer RNA is filed under the name Anastatus formosanus. Its description in RNAcentral is "tRNA-Ile". The record is from RNAcentral. Lineage: Eukaryota; Metazoa; Arthropoda; Insecta; Hymenoptera; Eupelmidae.